GCUUACAGCCUUGUCUGAUCUCGGAAGAUAAGCAGGGGCGGGCCUGGUUAGUACUUGGAUAGGAGACUGCCUGAAAAUACCAGGUGCUGUAAGCU
This 95-nucleotide ribosomal RNA is filed under the name Sinocyclocheilus anshuiensis. The record is from RNAcentral. Lineage: Eukaryota; Metazoa; Chordata; Actinopteri; Cypriniformes; Cyprinidae.